This 643-nucleotide ribosomal RNA is filed under the name Bacillus cytotoxicus. RNAcentral describes it as "bacterial SSU rRNA". It matches the Rfam family "Bacterial small subunit ribosomal RNA", at positions 1 to 623 of the family's 1533-position model. The record is from RNAcentral. Lineage: Bacteria; Bacillati; Bacillota; Bacilli; Caryophanales; Bacillaceae.
UUUAUUGGAGAGUUUGAUCCUGGCUCAGGAUGAACGCUGGCGGCGUGCCUAAUACAUGCAAGUCGAGCGAACGGAUUAAGAGCUUGCUCUUAAGAAGUUAGCGGCGGACGGGUGAGUAACACGUGGGUAACCUGCCCAUAAGACUGGGAUAACUCCGGGAAACCGGGGCUAAUACCGGAUAACAUCUAGCACCGCAUGGUGCAAGAUUGAAAGGCGGCUUCGGCUGUCACUUAUGGAUGGACCCGCGUCGCAUUAGCUAGUUGGUGAGGUAACGGCUCACCAAGGCGACGAUGCGUAGCCGACCUGAGAGGGUGAUCGGCCACACUGGGACUGAGACACGGCCCAGACUCCUACGGGAGGCAGCAGUAGGGAAUCUUCCGCAAUGGACGAAAGUCUGACGGAGCAACGCCGCGUGAGCGAUGAAGGCCUUCGGGUCGUAAAGCUCUGUUGUUAGGGAAGAACAAGUGUGAGUUGAAUAAGCUCAUGCCUUGACGGUACCUAACCAGAAAGCCACGGCUAACUACGUGCCAGCAGCCGCGGUAAUACGUAGGUGGCAAGCGUUAUCCGGAAUUAUUGGGCGUAAAGCGCGCGCAGGCGGUUUCUUAAGUCUGAUGUGAAAGCCCACGGCUCAACCGUGGAGGGU